GCGAAAUAAUUCAAAGGCAAUGGACCAGGGACAUGGUUACAAAUCUCUGCCACUGGCACUGUGACUUAUGCAGGCAGUUUGUCACACAUGAGCCAGGUGACCUCUGUGACAUAACAGAGAAAAAUAUCGCCCGAGAUCAAAAGAUGAGAUUCAGAGCACUCUAACUAACUCUGGUGUACACAGCCACACUAUAAGGUGGCCAAGGGUUUCCUCUCCUUCGAAUGCUGCUCACUCCGCUCGCUGGCGGGCGGGACACACUCCUGCUAAUUUCAGUAAUCUCUUUUUCUCUCAUCUCUUUGGAAAUCUUUCCUGCAACCUGAACAUCAAAAUUUGCCUCUUCUGAAGCCUCUCUUUUUCAAAAAAGGAAAGCCUGCUAGAGAUACAACAGUCAGCGGCUGCAUCUACAGACAAUUUUUGUUGGGAAAAGUGCCAUAUAGUAUCGACAGUGACAACAAAUUGUAUUGUCCGGUGAACAUCUGUUUCCGACUCCCACACUGAUACUGCAGGUUGGAUACUUCUGAUUUAGUCUUCACAGGCUGCCCGACCACAGAGGAACUGGAAAUUACUGAGAAAGAGGGAGAAUGAGAAACACCACUGAAACUCCUGUUAACACUAAUUAGAGUUGUCAGCAUGCAGCGGAAUCAAAGGCAAAACAUGUGGAGCUCCCACUGAAGUCAAGAGGAGAAGGGUAUUACUUAAAGGAGAGGCAUGCAAAUUAAAAAUAAAUGCUGUUCAAUGUUACCAAAUGAGCUAGUCACGUAAACACUCGUUUUGAGGUCUAAACCUUCCUACUGGGAACUCUCUUUCUGAAAGUUCAUUCCUAGUCAGGAGACAGCAUUGUCCUUGACCACACUUGCUGAAC
This is a long non-coding RNA of Chiroxiphia lanceolata (lance-tailed manakin), 862 nucleotides long. RefSeq lists it as uncharacterized. Lineage: Eukaryota; Metazoa; Chordata; Aves; Passeriformes; Pipridae. The record is from RefSeq and is a predicted model, not a curated record. The transcript has 4 exons.